AGCUGCGAAGGCAUCUUCAGCAGCUGGAAAGAAUUUCGGUCAGGGAUGAGCUCGCGGCCUAUCAGCUAGUUGGUGAGGUAAUGGCUCACCAAGGCGUCGACGGGUAGCCGGCCUGAGAGGGUGACCGGCCACACUGGGACUGAGACACGGCCCAGACUCCUACGGGAGGCAGCAGUGGGGAAUAUUGCACAAUGGGCGAAAGCCUGAUGCAGCAACGCCGCGUGAGGGACGACGGCCUUCGGGUUGUAAACCUCUUUUAGCAGGGAAGAAGCGAAAGUGACGGUACCUGCAGAAAAAGCGCCGGCUAACUACGUGCCAGCAGCCGCGGUAAUACGUAGGGCGCAAGCGUUAUCCGGAAUUAUUGGGCGUAAAGAGCUCGUAGGCGGUUUGUCGCGUCUGCUGUGAAAACUGGAGGCUCAACCUCCAGCCUGCAGUGGGUACGGGCAGACUAGAGUGCGGUAGGGGAGAUUGGAAUUCCUGGUGUAGCGGUGGAAUGCGCAGAUAUCAGGAGGAACACCGAUGGCGAAGGCAGAUCUCUGGGCCGUAACUGACGCUGAGGAGCGAAAGGGUGGGGAGCAAACAGGCUUAGAUACCCUGGUAGUCCACCCCG
RNAcentral lists this ribosomal RNA (610 nucleotides) under Microbacterium sp. RNAcentral describes it as "bacterial SSU rRNA". It matches the Rfam family "Bacterial small subunit ribosomal RNA", at positions 179 to 802 of the family's 1533-position model. The record is from RNAcentral. Lineage: Bacteria; Bacillati; Actinomycetota; Actinomycetes; Micrococcales; Microbacteriaceae.